This 491-nucleotide ribosomal RNA is filed under the name uncultured bacterium. RNAcentral's name for it is "partial 16S ribosomal RNA". It matches the Rfam family "Bacterial small subunit ribosomal RNA", at positions 29 to 506 of the family's 1533-position model. The record is from RNAcentral.
AGUGAACGCUGGCGGUAGGCCUAACACAUGCAAGUCGAACGGCAGCACAGUAAGAGCUUGCUCUUACGGGUGGCGAGUGGCGGACGGGUGAGGAAUACAUCGGAAUCUACUUUUUCGUGGGGGAUAACGUAGGGAAACUUACGCUAAUACCGCAUACGACCUACGGGUGAAAGCAGGGGAUCUUCGGACCUUGCGCGAUUGAAUGAGCCGAUGUCGGAUUAGCUAGUUGGCGGGGUAAAGGCCCACCAAGGCGACGAUCCGUAGCUGGUCUGAGAGGAUGAUCAGCCACACUGGAACUGAGAACCGGUCCAGACCCCCACGGGGGGCAGCAGUGGGGAAUAUUGGAAAAUGGGCGCAAGCCUGAUCCCGCCAUACCGGGUGGGUGAAGAAGGCCUUCGGGUUGUAAAGCCCUUUUUUUGGGAAAGAAAAGCAGCAGGUUAAAACCCCGCUGUUCUGACGGUACCCAAAGAAUAAGCACCGGCUAACUGCGU